CCUUUAGAAAGUGAAAAGGAGGAUAGAAACACGAAGAGGGAAAAAAGGAAAAAUAAGCUUGAAUCAGUAAUCAACAAGCACUUGUGUAUAUCCACCUUCCAAAUUUCAUCAAUACAUUACAACAUUUAAAGUCCUAAAUCCUCUCCUUGGUUGCCCAGAAACAUUGACCAAAAAAUCAAAUUCAAAAUUUUCAUAUCACCAGUUAAAAUAAAUAAAGAGCAGACAAAGCCAAUAAGCAAAGUGAAUUUGGCUUAGUAGAAAUCAGAUUUCCUUGUCAAAUUUUCUCGGCAACCAAAUGGAGAGUUCAAGAGCAAAAAACAAAGCCCUAGAAAAUGCAAGUACUAGACUCACCGGAGACUCACAUGAGAAGUGAUAGUUUCCGGCAAUGGUAUAUCGGAAUCAGGAAAACACAGGGGGGGAGAAGAAACUGGAAAGAAGUUCCUAGAGAGAAAUACAGGCAGCAGCAGAGAAGGAAGGAGAGAAGUGAAUGAGUCUCAGUGAGACCUAAAAGACCAGAAACUGCAGUGGGUGCGAAGGAGCAAUCUCAGCCACUACAAUUUCUUAUGGAUUUUUUUUGUUGAAAAUUAAGCGAAUUAUAUUUGAGGCUGCAAUGAAAUGAAGGGUAAAACUGGGAGAGAUGGUGCCAAGUGGCGGAUAUUUAGUGGCUGAUUAAUCUAAAGCCCACACUUGCACUUUUCUGAUUUCUUUUUUCCCAAUUGCCUGUACAUUCAUCUUCAAAUAUCAGCCACAAACUCUAACGGCCUCUGAGGUUAACUCCGUAAAAGCGUAGUCAGGUGCGCCCUUGCGUGAGCCCCACCUCGUGACGUGGUCCCUCUGGAAGGACCGGUUUUACUUUUAUCCGGUAAUGCUUGUGUACGGGCAGCGCAAAAAGUGGACAGUGGUAUGCCAACGUGGAGAUUGCCACCGUUACGUGGCGGUUUCAUUCAAAAGUGGCGAACUGGAGGAGGGCGACGCUUGCAGUUAACUGCAGGAGACUGUGUGCAGUUCAUGCAGUUAGAAGCGCUUCCAGCAGUUAUGCUGAAAUUUGACGGAUGUAAAUGAAUGGGCCGGUUUGUGGCCCAAUAUUGUAGCUGGAGCACCCCCACCAUAUUCAUUAAACUGGCCCAGUUAGAGCUUGAUAGUGUCCUCUCCUUGGCCCAAAUCAUUUGUGUCGUUUUUUCCUUUCCAACGUGCAUCAGUCAUCAAAGACCAUUGAAUAGUAGAUUCAAAUUUAAAUUCUCUCUUUCUUAUUCUCUGUUAAAAAACAGAAAUUAAAAGUUUUAUUAAUUCCACAAGGCCCAAGAUCCCAAAUGAAUCAUUUUACAAAUGAAGUGCAUCCAAUUACAAGAAAAAAUAAACAGAAAAUUAACCUCUACACAAUCACACCGACAAAGAUUAUGGAACUCGAGGAUCAAAGUAACAUCACAAAGUUAAAACAAACAUGCCUUAUACCCUUGACUUGGAUGGUAAUGACACGGAGCCACGUAAUGCAUGCAGGACGACGUCAUUAUAACCCAGCGUAAACCAUGUGAUAAAGCUUUAGCUUUGUCAAGGAUAAAGACAAAUUAUUGAAGGUUUUGUUAGAGAAGUUUAUGGCUGCUUCUAGUAUGCCAUUAUUCAAUUUUUGGGUAUGCAUAUACUAGCUAUUUUUCUUAAGUGGGGAAAGAAUCAGCUAAGCAGAUCAGUUGCAUAUCAAUUUUACCGAUAUUAUCGUCCAACAAUUUAGAAUGACUCAUGCAAUACGCAUCACUAACUAAAUGCUGGGUAAAUUAUAUCCCCAUAGUUAAUAGAGUUAAUUAAGGCCAGUUUUGUUUGAUGGAACCAUUCAAUCUUUGGCUUUAAAUAGCUUCAAUUUCAUCCCUUUUAAACCAAGUGAGAAUUAUAGGACCACAAGAACAUUAUAAGUUAUUUAAUGGGCUCGUCGAUUUUAUUAUAUAUUCAAUGUGAUUUUAAUAUCAAUUAUAACAAUACAAAUUUAACUUAUUCAGGGUUUGCAUAUAUAAAUUUUAAAUUUGCAAAAAUAAUUCAUCAUGUGAGAAAACAAAAGGGUAAAUAAGUUUUUUAGCAAUUAAAAUUAGAUUGAUUUUUGUUAUUGAUGCAAAAUAAGUUAUGUGUUGUUUGGUUUGAAAUAAGAGGAAAUUUUUUCGUGUAAAAAAAUAAAAAUAGAAGAAACUCGUUACUGAUCAGAAAGCUUAAGCUCCCCAUGAGAUUUUACUGAUUUUGUUUCUCAGAAAUUUUUAUCAAAUAUGAGUUUAAUUUUAACUUAAAAUUUUUUGACGAGCCACUUCAGUGAUAUAUUAUAUAACUUACGGAAUUUUUAUUAUAUUUAUACCUGCAUUAAAAAUUGAUAUAAUUUUUAAUAUUGUGCUUUCAAAAAAAAAUUUAAUAUUGAAAAAAUAAUAAAAACCAAACAAGCCCUUAAAAUUUAAGUCCAUAGGACAUUGAUUUUGCAUUUUUUUUACACGUUAAAUUAAUAUUUUAUCUAGGUACUUCAACAAUUCUUGCUGAAAACAACAAUAAUACCCAUUUACCUAGGAAAAAUUAUUUUAUAUAAUUGUAUGUAUAACAUUUUAUAUUAUAACCAUGAUCAUUGAUCAUGGUGGAUAGCUAUAAGAUUCGGGCGUCAUACGUGAAACCGUUUUUGACAAGCGUACACACACUGCAUAUUUCAAUUAGCAAAUCUCUGGAAGCGAUUGUCCAGAUGGAAUAAGAAAGUAUAUUUGAUUAAGAGUGUUGAAGAAACGCUGUUAUACUGUUCCAAAUGGGAAAAUAAUCAUUGUGAAAGCCAGUACGGCAGGAAAUGCAUUGGAUAUCUACCUUUGAUAAAGGCAAAUUAUCCCAAGUUGGUGUGCUCUGGAGGAGCACUUCCCUGAAUCCCCAGAAUAGAUAAUUCCCUUUAUCACAUGCGAGAGAAUAUUGUAAGUCACAAACAAAUUCUACAGACAUCUGCUGUGCUGAGUGCUUUCUUAGUUUGUGUUAUUUUAUAUAGGCGAUCAUCAUGGGCAUAAAAUAACGUUAAAGAGUGGAGAAAUUAAAUAUUUAAUUACAUGUGUCUUAGAGAUAAACGUGCAUUAUUACAAGGAUUUACUCUGGUUAGAAACUUAUACAAACGCAACGAAGCAUGUUUACUUCCUUGUGCACACUCAUUAAAAAUGUUCGCUUCAGCACUUACUAGCUUCACCUCACUGUAGCAGAGGAUCCCCUUUUAGCUGCUGCUCCCAAUUAUGUCGUUGAAUGUGGCUUUCACUUUCGCUACAAAAGCUUCCCUGCAGUUUGACCAUGGCUGUCAGUCUAUAUUUAUAAUUUUCUUUUUUCUUUUUACGUGAAAAUCUCUGUUCUUGGUGAAAUAACAUAUUUCAAUUGGAGUAGCAAUCAUACCUGUCAGGUUUGAAAAUAAUGUUCUUGUAUGCAAACCACUGCAAAUAAUUAAUAAACAAAAUCAGCUACUGUACACAAUCCAUCAAGAGUUACCCAACUUUACAUUUAAUAAGAUAAUGAAAUCUAUAGAAGUCUAGCUUGAUCUUGGCAUGCAAAUUAUGAAUAUUUGUUUAGUCCUACUUACUCCUGUGUAACCGAUGCCGACAAGCUCAAGAGCCCCAGGAAUCAAAGGAAGCCUAUCAAUCGCCUGUUGCAGGAAAAAAAAAAGGUUUCAAAAGGAUCACUCAUAAGAAAGGAUUAUAACUAGAAAAUAGUAAUUUGGAGAUCUCACCGAGAUCAUCCCAGUGGAGCCCCAAAGAGCAACUACACCAGCAACUGCUAGUGAAGACACUGCAUACUUGUCUUCAACCUUAUCCCACUGCUCACACGAGAACAAAAUCCAGGUCAAAACUAUAUGGAAUUCCAUUACAGCUUAGUGAGGGGGAAAAAAGGCUAAAUUCUUACAGCUUGUUGAAUUGACUUGACAAUCUCUGGCGGCUCAGUUGUAGCCAGCUCAGUUGGAGCCUCCCCUGUAGCCAAAGCCUCUCCGGUAGCCAUAGCCAUAACAUUCCGGGCUAGCUUUCGACCUGAGAAAAUGAACAUCAUUGUUAGAUAUAUAUAUAUAUAUCCCUUCUAUGGUGUGUUAUAGGACUGAACAGAUAUCUGCGUAUGACUCACAAUAAGCAGUGGUCUUCCAGGGACGGUUCUGAGUCUGGACAGGAGGAGGAGGAAGGGUGGGCAGGGUCACACAUUGUGGUGAUGCAGCGGCUAAUUGGCGAGGAGCCUUGGCAUCAACAAGGCUUGACGAAGAGGUGAUUGAUAAGGUUGUGGAGGAAGUUGAGGCCAUGGUUGAAGCAAAUCUCCACAGGUUAUAUUAUUCUAAUGAACUGUGAUUCUAAUUCUAAAUGCCACACACUAGGGGGAGCAAGUGCAGAAAUGUUAAAAUAUAGUGAAUUUUUAUUUUCCUAAUUUUUCUGGGCUUAGUUGAAUGUGUUUGAUAAUUUUGAUUGAGGAUAUGGAGAUGGAAGUGCUUCCAAGUUUGAAGCUAGGAACCACUCAUUACUUUCAUCAAGAUAGUGCUGACGUGGCCGUUGGAUUGCCAAUUAAUGGUGUUUGAUUGGAUAGGAUUAUCUCUUUCCUCCCCCUACGCCUAAAGGGGCAAAAAACUAAAAAUAUCUCCUCUCACUUCUUACCAAACAUUUCUCGUCUCUUUCUGAAACAAAAUGACCUCCUCUAUCCAUUUCUCUGAAAAGUUUUUGCACCUUGAGGUAUUGACGAGGGUGGUGGAAGAUAAUGCACUUACUGUAACAACUGGCAACCGAGCAAAUUGAGAAAUAUGUAUACAAAGGGGUGAAUUCUAGAUGCCGCACCUAAAGGAAUGACAUCAGUUCAGCGUAUUCGCAAAAAUUACUCGAUCCGAAUUUAAAUUCGAUUACUAUUUUUAAUAAUUAAAUUAUAUUGAAAUUUAUUUUAAAUUGUUCAAAUUCAUUACAAAUCUGAUUAUUAUGUUUAAAUUCAUUUAAUUUUAUAUAUUUUAAUUAAUAAUUUAUAUAAAUAUUUUAAAUUUUAAUUUUAAAUGAAAAUAUAAAAAAUAUAAAUAUAAAUAUAUAUAUAUAUAUAUUAAAUUAAAUAUUUAUAUAUAUAUAUUAAUUCGGAUAAUUAUUAUCCAAUAUGCAAAAUAUAAAUUCUUCUCAAAUUUAUCAUGAACAUUAAUUUUCAAAUUAAAAUCUAUUUCAAACUUUUUUAAUAAAAUUCAAUUGGAUCAAAUAUUUGAAAAUACUAAUGUCUAGGGCUCAACCCUUAUUGAAACAAGUAAAUUUACAAGUAUAUACGGUAAAUUAACAAAUAAAAUAUAAUAUCAAUUUUUAUAAUUAAUUUUAAAAAUAUAAUAAUGUUGAUUUUGAAAAUAUAGGAAAUGGACCCUUGGUUGUAUAAUCGAUUCUUGCUUGCUUGGAAGGAGAUAUAAGAUAAUGAAAAUCCUCUCCAUAUCCCUCUAACUCAUUCUGAUUUUAGGGUUCUGAUUAAAUAUCUCCUUAUGGUUAUUAUAACGAGAUACUGGCUAAAUUGGUUGGGGAUUUUGUUGGCCACUAUAAAGAGUAUGAUAUGAAAAAUGUUUCAGCUAUGUCGCAGUGUCCUAUGAGACUUAAAGUUUGUUUGGACAUUCGGCAACCUUUGAAACGAUAGAAGAAGUUUGUUGGAGAUGAUAGUACUGUAUUUACUGUGAAGUUUCAAUGCGAAAAACUGACUAUUUUUUGCUAUCUAUGUGGAAAACUGGGUCAUAUGAAGACUUUCUGUGACUUGCAACUGAGGUUGAAGAAAGAAGAUAUCAAGUUUGGUUGGGGUGAUUUCCUCAGAGCACCUGUUCGUCGGAACCAGAGACCGACAAAUCUGUGACUGCGUGAUUCCGGCAAUUCUGCUCCGCCAGGAUUUGUGGCAGGAUUGGCAUCAACUAGCAAUUUGGAAAACACUAAUUUGACAGCAUAUAAUAGGCAUUUCUCCUUAUUUGGCAAAAGUCAAUUCAUUGUAAAUAAGGAGACUGAGGACCAUAUUAUAGACAUGGACAAGAAUUCUGUGGGUUAAGGCAGUUCUGAUAAGUUUGAUGAGAUUGCAGCCUGAAUAAAUGAUAAUGCUAAAAAAAGUUAAGAAACACUAAACAUAACGUUGUUACAGGUUUUCCUUCCUCUCAAUAGUAUGCUUCUAACAACACCAUUGUGAAUAUUAAUUUGACAGGCAACAGUGAAGCGGCUCAUCCCGUCAAAGGUUGGGAUAGCCGAAAGCAAUUAUUGUCCUGUGUUGGAACUGCCGAGAACUCGGCAAUCCUCGGAUAGUUAAUGCAUUGAAGGAUUUGGUUACUAGUUACAAGCCGGAUAUUUUAUUUUUUAUGGAAACAAAAAAUCUUAGUUAUCGUAUGAAAUUUUUUCAUAAUUUUUUAUAUUUUGAUGGUUGCUUCUCAGUCAAUAGACAAUGAUUGAAAAGAGGUAUUUCGUUAAUGUAGAAGAGUCAUGUAUAUGUUUCUGUAGUUGGAUUUUCUUCAAAUUUUAUUAAUUCGGUUGUUUUUUAAGGUAAUGUUCAAUGGAGUUUUACUAGUUAUUAUGGAUUUCCAGAAUCGCAACGACAACAUCAGUCUUGAAACCUUAUUCGAGCUUUAUCUCGUAGAAGCUCUCUUCUGUUACUUUGUUCGGGAGACUUUAAUGAUUUAUGCUCGAGAGAUGAGAAAGAAUGAGGAGCAUUUUUGCAAGAAUGAGGAGCAUUUUUGCCAAAUUAUCUUAUGCAGGGGUUUAGACAAGCACUUAAGGAGCAUUUUUGCCAAAUUAUUUUAUGCAGGGGUUUGAUUUUGAAUGAUUGGAAAUUUUUGUUAGACUCUAAAACUGAUAUUUCUGUUAGAUAGAUUCGUCAUAAUGCUACUCUAAAUACUCAUACUUUGACUAAAGAAUUUAUUAGAUAUAAUCGUCUCUCUAUUUAAAAUGAUAUCAUUUUUAUUUGAUAAAAUUUUAUUAAUAUAACCAGUAGUUUUGCACAUAAUUAUGACUGACUAGAAGUGGUAAACAAUGCCAAUAGCUUAUUGAAUUCUUACUAAUUCUAAUAAACGCUAACAAAUAAUAAGGUAAAAUCUGAGUUUUUUGAAAACGAAAUAAGUUAUUAUUUUAGGUAAUUUUUAUGAUAUUAUAUUUUUUAUGAAUUUGGUUUAUAAUUCUUGAUAGAAUAGUAACAUCUAAUUAAUAAAAUAUUAUUAAUUUAAAUUUAUAUAUAAGAUUUAUUAUUAUUAAAAAUUUAUAUAUUUAUCCAUCUAUAAAGUAAGUUCUCAUCACGCGCGCUGGGCGAAAGACAAUCAAAGCUCAUGUUUUCAACUUACCGUUGACUUUACUGUAGCAUGUUCCUGCAUAGGCAAUGAUGAGUAGCCACUCAUGAGUUUCCCUUCAAAAUUCAUUAUGUAUAUACGACAUUCAUCAAAUUAAAACGACACAUCAACACUAUCAUCCCUACAAUAGUUUGAAGUUUAAAGUUAGAGGGUAGAAUUUUUGCAAGUACUGUGUUUAAUUAUUUAUAGAAAUUUUAUUUUUAUUUAGUUAUUUACUUGUUAUACGAAAUCUAAACUAUUAUGUUGUUGCGAUUUGUGUCGGGGCCAGUGGGUUGUCGUUGGAAUUUGUUUCCGGUACUGGUCGUACAUGAAUUUCCAAUCUUUUUUUUGGAACUUGAAGCUUGGAAAGGGUGAGCUCUGAGACUUUGAGUCUGCUUCUGGAAUGCUUUGUUUCUUGGAUAAAAACUGUGAAAGCGGACAAGAAAGAAUUCAAAUUUGGUUGAAAUUUGGAAAUUACAUAAGCAGUUAACGUUAUGGAAACAGAAAUAAAUUGAAUAGUGAAAUGCACCAACGUCACCAUGCAAUUGAAAGUCGAAGCAGUUCCUGAAAAAGAGCCAAGUCCACUCAAGUCUUCCAAUUAUUAAUUUACUGAGUUGUGUGCGUUUUUUCUAAUGAUUUCCUUUAUUAUUAUUAUUAUUUUGUAUAUAUUUGACAUUGAAAUUCAAGAGGUAAAAAGCAUGUAUUUUUUUUUGGAAAAAAAAUCACAAUGAUGGAUACUAUUAAACAAAUGUUUUGUUAUUUUAUUAUUUUUAUAAUCAAAACAUGAUAAUUUUUUUUAAAUAAAGACUGUAGAGUUAAUCUUGAGAAACCAAUAUACUAUGACUAUUUAGUGCCUUUUUAAAAAUAAGAGAUGUGCUACUAGAAAUUUUUCUGAAUAUGCUUGUGAUAUUUUUUUAGUACAAUUCACUCUCCAUGAGACUUGAACUUAAAAUCCCAUACUUUUAGAGAUAACUCAAAUACCAGGUGAUGAUUGUUGGCUCACUAAUCUUAUUUAAUACCCUAAUAAAUUUGGAAUGGAGACAAAAAAAGGGCUCAACUUUUAGAGAAUAGAAACAAAAUGCUAAUCAUGGUUAAUGCAAGCUGAUGUGGCUUAAAUAAAACCUAAAAAAAGGUUGAUGCUAAUUGUUAUUGGGAGUAACGUCCUUGUCCAUGGCAAACAAGAGGAAAUAAACAGGGACUGGGCUGAUAAAAGAAGAGAAUCAAAAGAGCAAAAAUGACUAAUGAGACUUGGCUGGGGCCACAGAAAAUGGAAGGUGAAUAGAUGAUACGUCCCUAGCCAGACGUUCCUGACCUGAUGCUAUUGCUAAUUUGCUAUUGCAUGCCAUAGCACAUGGGGAUGUGUGCUCUUAUAGCUUCCUUUCUCUUUCUCUAUUUCUGACCCUUAUGACAAUUUUCACAGACUUGGAACAUGGCCUUUCACCUUUGACUUUGCCCAUUCCCAUCAACCACACCCCACCCUUCGAGAUCUACCACGUCACUCGUAUCUGCUCUCUGAUUAACAUCUCAUGCACAAAAUCAACAUAACCAUAUUUACAUUAGACCUUCAAAAGCAAAUUUGCUUGUUGAAAAAGGAAAAAUAGGCAGAGGAGAGGAUAAUGGAAUUUGUAGAAAAGCCAGCUGAAGCCGAAAAGGAGGGUACGAAAAAAAGCAGGUUGCAGGCGCAGUGAACAUUGGACAAUGAAUGGUGAUCCAUGAAACAUCCAUAUCAACAUACAUAUAUAUACACGGCCGAUGUCCUAAAGUCAAUUGAAAAAGAGAUGCAUCAUUUGCAUUUUGUCAUCAUUACAUUUUUAAUAAUAAUAUUAUUAUUAUAUUAUAUUAAAACAUUAUAGCCUAGCCCCACUCUUUUUGACCACGCAAGCUCAGCUGAAACAAUUCCAACUCAUACCCAUAUUCUAAUCUGCCAACUAGCUCUAGCAAUACAGAUAAUAAGCCUUUUUCUUAAAAGAAGAAAGAAAGAAAGUUAAGCAGUAAGUAUCAUCCGCUUAAUUUGUGCACUGGAGACGAUUAAUGGAAGCAAUCCUCUGUUCUGUUCCCUAUCUACCAUCCCUAAGAACCCAGUUGCAGCUUUUCUUUUCGGUUUUUUAAUCCCCUACACUGUAUUAGAAGGGAACUCAGAAUUGUAGAGUGAGCUUCCGUUUCUCUCUUGCCUACGAGUGUAAUUGACCAAUCAGUUGCCGUUGAUAAUGGUGAAUAUUUCAUCAACUGUUGCUGCUAUCUCAUCCGCUGAUUCCAGCUUACAGUCAUCCUCUAUCUACAGAUGCACCCCAAAAAAAAAAAAAGAAAAUUAAAAUUAUAUAUGAGAAAAUAGGGAAUUAGGGUUUGGGAGAAUGAAUGAAGUCAAACUGGUUGACCAAAAAGAAACAGCGAAAGUAAGGUACCUUUAGGUUGAAUGAGUAAAGAACUGUAUUUUCAGACGACGUGAUGUUAAGGUGCAAAACUGUCAGCCUAAGAUCCUCCAGUGCAACGAUGGCUCUCAACAACUGGCCUGCCUUCUUUUCACUCUGAAUCUUCAAAUUUACAUGAUUUUUUAUGACUGUCACUUCUAUCUCCGCCGCCUCAGAUUUUCUCUUCACCUUUGCUUCCUCUUCACAAUUGCCGCUUUCCCCCUGGAUAUUACACUCCGCCUGAGAAGUGAAUAACCAGUUCGAUGUCAUGCCCAUGGCCGCUACAGCUUCUUCGGUUUUUCUCAUUCUCUUUUGCGCUUCCAGAGAUUGUAGAAGCUGCUCUAGUUCCUUCACAAAAUCUAUUGCACCUCCUAUAAUAGACGCUUGGUCACCCUAUUAACAAGGAAAAAAAGGGUGAACGUUCAAUAAAGACUGGAACUUUUUUUUAUUAUUUUCUUUGGCACAGAGAAAGGAGAGAUUUUCAAUUUGUUGGACUAAAGAUUGAAUUCUCAAAACGAAAACCCUAAAUGGAAGGUUUGAUAUUUUGAUGUUUGUGAUUACCCUUUGCACGUAGGAGGGGGGCAUGAGAGAGCGGAGAGAGUUGAGGUGGUCGUUCAUUUGGCGACGGCGAUUGCGUUCCACAGCAAUGUGGGUCAUGCGCUGAUUCUCUACUUCUUCUUUGUUCUUCGUUGGCCUUGUUCGUUUUCGCUUUUUUCGUUCCUUGGUGACUACUGGAGAAGUUUUGGAGAAAUGGGUCUCGUGGAGCAUGGUUUGUGGGUGAGUCCAUGGAAAGGAUGAGUCUGAGUUACGUUCUUUGCAAAAGCGUCCUAUUAAAUUGGCCUGCCUCUUAGGCUCGGGGCUUACAUCUUCAAGACAGGAAUUUGAAUGUGGGUUCUGAAAAUCUUUGGUUUCAGAUUUGGCUGGUGAGUGCAAAUCAGCUAUGUCAUGAGUGACACAACUUUCAAGCUCCAGCGCUUGAACUUGGGUGUCCGCUUCAGUGAUGUAGUUGUUCCAAGGCCUUUUGAGGUGUUGGAGUUUUAGUAAUGUCUGAAAGUUGGGUUCUUUGAGGGGAAAAAAUGGUGGGUAUUCUACACCUUGUAGCAUUUGAAGAAAAGGGAUUUUGUCUUCUAAACUUGGCAUCGAGAACUGUGUUUCUUCUUCCUCGAAUGUUCUCAAAUUUUCUGUGUUUACAAAUCCUCGUUCCAAGCCCUCUGCAUCCAGCUGUUCACCUAAGAACUGCAAGAAAAAACAGAAACUUAAGAAAGAACUGUGAAAAAAAGAAACGAAACUAGGGAAAUACUUGGCUGGGUGGAUGAGAGAGACGAUUGAGUCUCAAAAGAGAAAGGGAGAACAAAAGAAGAAUAAGAAUAGAAUGUUAAUGAGAAGGAACAGCAAAGCAGAUAUUAGCAUUUCCAGUAAAACAACCAAAUGCAUUAAAUGCAAGCAUUUAGAGUAGUAAAUGCAGUCCCAUUUCUUGAUUCUAGUAAAGGAAUUCAAGGAUUGAGAGAGCUAAAUUUAAGAAAGGUACUAAAAUGAGCAAAGUAACAUACACAAGGAUCAAAAAGGCCUUGGAGCCUCUCCAUUACAGAUGAGCAGAAGUUGCAAGUAAGCUUUAAAUUAUCUCCCACUCAGUUACCAACAUUCCAUUGUGAUGCUAACAGAAAAAUAGUAAUAAAUGUAACGCCCAAGAAGCAGAACUAGAUACCCCAUCUUCAAGCCAAAUAUAUUCCUUUAUUUUCUGAGGCUGGUGUCCUGGUGAUACUCUUAAAUAGAAUAAUAUUAAAUGCUUUCAAGAACAGCACCACACACCCACACACACACACAGAGAAAGAGAGGGAGUAACCAGCAAGAAAUGGAGGCUAAGAAGAGUUAAGUGAUGUCUGAAGACGAGUAAAAAAAAACAAACAGCAGGGAAAAACAAAUUGAAAAUAACCAACUAAGGGUGAGAAACGAAGGGUGGAAAAUAAGCAACUAAGAGAGGAUAUAACAGAUGUAUAUGGGACUGGAGAGAGUUGGUAAGACUUAACAGAAGGGGGAGAGAGAGAGAAAGAGAGAGAGAGAGUUGUAGGGGGAGAGAGGGAGAAAGAGAGAGAGAGAGAGUUGUCUGGCUUACAAGGUCCCAAGCAUUAUUGGCGGUGGCAGUUUUGUCCGGCAGCGGGGACAGACAGUUGUGGGGACUCCUUCCCCAAGCGGACACCAAAAAAUUAAAAAGCUUUGGAAAGUCCUUUCUAUGGAUUGUGUCACCGAGUCUGAUGCUGCAUCCUUUCUCCCAUCUCUCUCUCUCUCUCUCUCUCUGUAGAUCUCUUUCUUUCUCUCUGUAUUUUUCUUCUUGUUUUCCAAUCCAAGGGUAUAUUUCUCUUUUCACUGCCCUCCCUUUUUACCCUUCAGUUGAUACACACUGCACAUGGCCUCCAGCAGUACGAUUAUGACUACCUUUGUCAUCUUUAUAAUCUUUUCUCAACCAUUUCACUUUUUGCUUCUUUUUUCCUUAAUUUAGAAUAAAUGGGUCUCCUGAUAUAAUAUUCCAUCUAAUCAAUCUCAUAAUCCAAAUAAGUACAGCUCUAAUCUUGAAUUUCUUUAUCAAAAGUAUAAAGAAUUAAAUCUGCAUGAAUUUGUAUUUAUGAUUCAUGAUGAAUAAGGUGUACUUGCAUGAAGUUUUUCAAUCUGUCCUACGUAAGCUCAACGCGUUGAUGCAUUACAGAGAUGGCUGAGUGUUACUUGGAAUGGGUAAUUGAAAUUUUUUUGGUAGGGUCAUAUUGGCAGCAGAUGAAGGCAAGAUUUUCAUUAAAUGUGUCGGGAGAGAAAUUUUGUCUCUAAGGGGAACACCAGUGGAAGCAUUAGCAGCAAGCCCCAGAUUCGUAUCAUUUCCACAGGUUUUUCCUUUAACAAUCUCUUCAACCCACUGUUGCUCAAACCUCUUCACAAUUUUACCUGAUAACAAAAAAAAAAAGGGAAAAUAUCAUAUAAUGUUCUGCAAGUUGAAGACUUGCUCCAGCUUUUUGUUUAGUCAAAUCUUCUAUGUACUGAAAAAACUUUUGUUUUUUCAACUGGAGAACUAGUCAGUCUAUUAGAUUAGCUGCCUUAUUCCCUGGAUUAAAGAAUGAUAAAUAUCAUAAAAUGCCAAAAUAUGACACUAUUAAGCCAUUAUUUUUAUAGCAUCAAGAGUGAAACUUAACCAAAGUAGAGGCUUUUAUGGCUUUAUCUAUUCAAAUGAAGUGAAAUGUACCCAUGAAAGAAUUUUCUUCUGUUUCCUUGUUUUAGGAAGUGAAGUCGCUCGUUGUUUUCAAUUAUUUGAAAAGGUUUAAAUGUGGAAAUUGCUCAACACCAGUUUACAGCUUCGCAAGGUCCCUCUGUACUGUCUGCAGGUGGAUAGAUCACCUGAUGAUCAAGGCACCAUGUGUCUCAAUUUCAGAGAAGCCUACCAGAGACAGAUCUUACAGAGGGCCACACCUUAAAGAUUGAAUCUUUGGAUUGCACGAGAACAUGGGAAUUAUGUGGGGAUGAAGUUCUACUAUUGAAAAAGAAGAGAUCAGAAACCAAAGUGGAGAAAACUUAAAGUUUAUGUUUGCUUGUUUUUCAAGACCUGGUAAAAAAGAAACAGUGGUUGAUUUUUCCCUUCCUCUUUCUUCUUACCAGGGGCAGAGCUAAAGCUCCACUAGUCAGGUCAAUUGACUCCACUGAAAUUUUUAAAUUAUGCUAGUUGUUAGUAAGAUUCUUUUUAUAAAUAGAAGUUCUUUUUCUCAUGUAAAUUUUGAUAGAUAAAAGUUUUUUUUAUGUAAUAUAUAUAAAAGUUUUAUAACCAUUUAUUGAAGAAAUAACUUGAAAAUCUCUUCAUUACGAGAUUAUUAAAUGUAAUAAUUGUUUAAUUAGUGAAAUCAGCUAAAAUAAAAAAUAUUAAACAGUUUAAUUAAAAUCAGUCUAAAUAAUUGUUCGAAAAAUCUUAUAAAUUUUUCUUACUAAAAAAUCGAUGUGGGAUUACAAAAAUGUUCAUAGUCAAUUAUAUUUAAUAUGAAUACAAUAACUAUAUAUCCUAACUUAUUGGCAAUUAUUAAGAUUUGUAUGUAAUAUACAAUUAAAGAAAAUAUGUAAAAAUAAAUAUAUAAUUAUUUUUUGUCAAUUUUUCAUAGGCAAUUAUGAACUAUAUAAAUAACUAAAACUAUUAUACAUUUCUUCUAAGAGAAGUUGCAUAAACUGAAAUUUAACAUAAUUAAUUAAGUCAAUAUUUUUGCAAAUAUUUUUGUCAAAUAUUGCGUAAAUAUUGAAAAAUCAUUUUGAAUUAAGUAUGUUGUGAAGUUGAUGAAUCUGGUUACUUCUCAAGAUUAAAAAGAGUCCUGCCAAGCUGUUUGAACCAUUUGACAUAUAACGCAGCCGUGUUCCACACUGUCAGCAGUUUCUUUAGCUUAACUCUGUCCUAUUAGGCGUAAUUGUAUUUUUCCCUUUCAAUUAUUCCUUCUCAAUCAUCGUCUCAAAUGGUAGCUUCCUCCUUUCUAAAUCAAGAGAAGCAAUCAAACAGCUCAUACAUCUUGGAGAUUUUGUCAAAUUUAUAAAAUCAGAUUUAUCAAACUCAAAAUCUACAAAAAGACAAAUUUAAUUUAAUAAAAUUUCAUGCUUCAAAACACCAGACUCCUAUUUGAUAAUGUCCAAGAACCUUAUCCAUUUUGAUCUGAGGGCAUCCAUUAAGCCACACAACCAGAGGCAUUCCCAUUAUCAUGAUGAGCACCCAGGAUAUUUGAACUUGUCCUGUAGCUGACUCAUUGAUUCUAGACGAUAUAGAAACCAUAAGAUGAAAAUACCAGUGAGACAAACCUUAUCCUCUUGCCACAAGGUUGAAGACUCUCAUGUCCAGUAGAUCAUGUUACUGAAUCUCCCUCUCGCCCAUCAUUUCAAAAAAUUAUACCCUGAAAUUGAAAUUGAUGUGUAUACAAUGAUUUUAUUAUAACCAUUAAUUU
This 14612-nucleotide long non-coding RNA is filed under the name Manihot esculenta (cassava). RNAcentral describes it as "long non-coding RNA (MESC_LNC002612)". Lineage: Eukaryota; Viridiplantae; Streptophyta; Magnoliopsida; Malpighiales; Euphorbiaceae. The record is from RNAcentral.